UCAAUGUCAGAUGAAUUAACUGAAACAGAAACAGCUGUCUAGGAGCUUGAUACUGAGUGAGAAUCAGCAAAACUCUGCUAUUAAGGUGAGAUUGUGGAAGACAGUUUCUUGUCACAGGUCAUACAGCAUGGAAAGACUGAGGACAGCAACAAAACACAAGGUAGUUCUACUGCAUCAGCAAGGCAAUCUCUGCCAGAUUUCAAAGCAGACUGCUGUUCAAGCAAUUUUAAAAAGCUCAAAGAAACUGGCAAUUUUGAGGACCACAGUGGCUGCCCAAGGAUACUUCAUGCAGCAGAUGAAAGACACAUCCUGCUUACUUCCCUUUGACAUUGGAAAUGCCCAGCUGUGACAUCAGCAAAGAAAAUGGCAAAAACCAGUCCAGCAGGUGGCAGGGGCUGAAGGGCUGGACAGCAGUACAAUAAUAAGUGUCUGUAGGCAACAGUGAAGCAUGGCGGAGGGUCCCCAAAUUUAUUCUGCAGCAGGACAAUGAC
Long non-coding RNA from Tachysurus fulvidraco (yellow catfish), 491 nucleotides. RefSeq lists it as uncharacterized. The transcript is spliced from 2 exons. The record is from RefSeq and is a predicted model, not a curated record. Lineage: Eukaryota; Metazoa; Chordata; Actinopteri; Siluriformes; Bagridae.